This 99-nucleotide non-coding RNA is filed under the name unclassified sequences. Its description in RNAcentral is "DUF1874 RNA". It matches the Rfam family "DUF1874 RNA". From Rfam's summary of the family: Hot springs metagenome only. Environment (Bison Hot Springs, Yellowstone) The record is from RNAcentral.
GUCAGUCCCGUUCGUGCCGUGGUCAUCCACAGGUAAGAGGCACCAUAGGUGCCCGCCACGGCCGUUCUCCCAAGAGGGAGAACAAGCGGGACAGGAGGA